GCUCCUUUACCUCAGUGCCGGAGUGCUUCAUAGUGCUACUUUGUUGGUUAGUAAAGAGGGCUGAAAUCCUCUCCAGAUCCCCGGGAUUAAAUUCUCAGCAGGACCUCCCUAUGCUGUGGUGCUAAGGAGUGCGUUCAGAUUACCUGGGAAAGGAGGCCAACCCCCGUCCUGCUUGCAGAAGGGUAGCACUCUUGAAUAGAAUAAAGCCCUGAGCAUUGGGUGAAAUCGCUGUGGGUUUGUGCCCACAUAAUGCAGGUGGGUUUGAGGACGCGUGUUCCUAUUGGGAAGAUUUGAAGGGAUAGUAUUUGCUACUCAGGUGAUGGAAGGUGGUUUGGGAAUCAACCUCAGGAGCAGUGCUAAAGGCAGAG
Molecule: long non-coding RNA, 368 nt
Filed under: Gallus gallus (chicken)
Lineage: Eukaryota; Metazoa; Chordata; Aves; Galliformes; Phasianidae
Description: lncRNA (ENSGALG00010017261.1)
Source: RNAcentral